UAUUAGAGGAGAUAUAUAUAUGACCGUUUGGGGCACCUAGGUGUCCAGGCAUCUUGCUUAGAUGUCGUUCGUUUGCAUCGUGAUUUUGUUCAGAUGAUGGAUAUAUAACUUAUUGGAUUUCAUCCAUUAACAAAAAAAACUUUCCAUACCUGUUUGCAUGGCUCUGACACGUGUUAAUUGUGUUAAUAAAUUACCUUUCAUAGAUGGUUGCAUGGCGUGUCUUAUAUGGAAACAUCCAAAUCUGAUUAUUUAAUGUGCGUUAUCAAUUGUCCAUUCAUGAGAUCAAGUAAUAAAGAGUUUCCAAACUAUUUCUGUGUGAAAUAUAGUAAGAAAUUUGUAGCACUGCGUACAUUGAGAUUUUUUUAACUGAGUAUAUACUUAUAAGAAUUUUAUCUGGAUAUUUCUCUACAACUACAUAUCUCAGCGUGAAAUAUACGAGUGCAUACCUCAAUAAUUCGUAGGUAUGUUUCCUAAUUGUUUUUAUAUAUUUUCCUACACCUACAUACCCCGGCGUGAAAAAUAUGAAUACAUACCGCAAUAAUACGUAGGUAUUAUACCUAAUUGUUUUUAGGUACAUAGUUCAAAAAUAAGUGGGUAUGCGAGAUUGAAAUAUAUGUAAUUCCCCAAUAUUACUCUAUAGCUACAUACCUAUUCUCUACAACUACAUACCCAAGCAAAAAACAUAUGACUACAUACCCCAAUAAUAUAUAGGUAUUAUUCCUAUUUUUUCUUGCAUAUUUUACUAUAACUACAUACCCCGACGUGAAAUAUAUGAGUAUACCCUAAUAAUAUGUAGGUAUAUAUAUACCUAAUUAUUUUGUGAAGUACAUAGUCACAAAUAAGUGGGUAUGAUACCCAAUUAUUUGAUGGAUAUACAUCCACGUAAAUGUGUGUCACCAUACAUAUUCUUUUUUGGUAUAUAUUCACAAAUACGUGAUCUAAAACUUUUAUAUGGAAAGGAAUGAGAGGGAAAAGCACUAAAAGGAAAUGCUUGAUCUAUGAAACUACAUCAUUUUAGUUUUUAGAACACAGUAUGUGUAAUUUUUAUAGAACACAAUAUGUGUAUUUUAUUUUAGUAUAUUAUUUACGGGUAUUUUACCAAUAUCAUUUACGGGUAUGUGUUUAAGUCAUAUACGUGUAUUUUAUUUUUGGUAUACCAUUUACGGGUAUGUCUUCAAAAAGAGUAUAUUAUGUUAGGGUAUGUCAUCAUUUAUGGGUACAUACUUGAUAAAUUAUGUGAAAUUCAUAGUAUCCAAUACAUUUACGGAUAUGCAAAAGUAAGAGUACUCUAUAAAUUGUUAGGUAUGUGUAUGCGCAUCAUACUUUUUAUAUGUACAUACCUUGGUGUACAAUUUAUGAGUAUAUACCCAAUAAUACAUAGGUAUUAUACAUAUAGUCACAAAGAAGGUAUCAUACCAAAAAAAAUUCACUAUAUAGCUGUACAUACAUGGUGUACAACAUAUGCAUGAAAAUGUAUGAGAGAAGGAAAGCAAUAAAAGGAGAUGUACUAAUUCAUGGAAUUUAAAACACUUGAUUCUAUCUCAUACAUGGAAAGUCUUGCAUGCAAAUAUUAGGAAACAAAUCAAAAUUUAUAGAAACUGCACUGACGGGAUGGACCCGAUCGAGGUGCACAGGCACCUAGGUGCCUGGACACCUAGAUAUAGGUAAAAUGUUUGGGGCACCUAGAGGGUCAGCCGCUGGAUCAAUCUAUGAUCUCAACAAUGCAUAUGGGGUUAUCGAUUGCUACACCCGUUAACAUCAUUCAUUAGCCAUUCUUUAAUGUUGCAUGCCUCCCAAUUAAGGUUAUUGAUUGCUAUCACCUAUGUUCUUUUUAAUUCGAUUCUUUCCAAAUAAGAAAGAUGCCAACUAAUUUAAUUGUUACCAGAAAAUGGCCACGUACUUGACAUAAUUUGUCUGAGCAAUUAACUAUAUACCAUCAAAGCACUCCAUCACGCAUUUGUAUACCUACGUGAUUCAUUUUUCUCUCGCCUGUCUUCUACACGAGCAUACCCCGGUGAUCGUCCCUCCAUCAUUCAUCUUCGUCACAAGUAAGUGCAGAUACAAUCAUGGCUAUCAGCACACUUGACGUGCCAUGGUUGCCAUUGUUGCCGCCGUCGUCGCCGAUGGCACUCGUAGGUUGGGUUUUUUCUCCAUUACAUCAAUAGUAAUUUACCUAUUUCUUUUCGAACUGCAGGUAUCUUCAUUGCUUUUUCAUACUUUUGCAUUUCCAUGCACAUGACCAUGAAAACUACCAGCGCAAGUUUUUAUCAUAUUCAUGGAUCCACGAGAUGGAUAAGUACGAAGAAUGUUCUAUAGCACAUUGAGCCACCACAUUUACUAAAAGAUGUUGUGGUUACAACGAAGGCUUUGUGUGACAACAUGAAGGACUCAAACAACAUGCAAGAGAAGGACAUGGAGAUAUAUGUGAUUUAAUAAAUUUUGUUUCUCUUCGUGGAUAUUGUAUGUGUACUUGCAAAUACACUAGCAAAUAUCUUCUUGUUUCUUGUAAAUUGGAAUGUAAUACGCUCGUGUAUAUGAAUGGCCCAAUUAAAAAGAUACAUGAGAAUAAAAUAGUAUGGUCAUUUA
Long non-coding RNA from Hordeum vulgare subsp. vulgare (domesticated barley), 2586 nucleotides. RefSeq lists it as uncharacterized. NCBI's taxonomy places the organism in Eukaryota, Viridiplantae, Streptophyta, Magnoliopsida, Poales, Poaceae. The record is from RefSeq and is a predicted model, not a curated record. The transcript has 2 exons.